This 856-nucleotide ribosomal RNA is filed under the name uncultured Actinomycetes bacterium. Its description in RNAcentral is "bacterial SSU rRNA". It matches the Rfam family "Bacterial small subunit ribosomal RNA", at positions 105 to 982 of the family's 1533-position model. Lineage: Bacteria; Bacillati; Actinomycetota; Actinomycetes. The record is from RNAcentral.
GGUGAGGAACACGUGAGGAAUUGCCUUCUACACUGGGAUAACUCCGGGAAACCGGGGCUAAUACCGGAUAUGAAACUUGGUGGCAUCACCGAGUUUGGAAAGUUUUUCGGUAGAAGAUGACCUCGCGGCCUAUCAGCUUGUUGGUGAGGUAAUGGCUCACCAAGGCGACGACGGGUAGCCGGCCUGAGAGGGCGACCGGCCACACUGGGAUGAGACACGGCCCAGACUCCUACGGGAGGCAGCAGUGGGGAAUAUUGGGCAAUGGAGGAAACUCUGACCCAGCGACGCCGCGUGCGGGAUGAAGGCCUUCGGGUUGUAAACCGCUUUCAGUAGGGAAGAAGCGAAAGUGACGGUACCUACAGAAAAGCACCGGCUAACUAUGUGCCAGCAGCCGCGGUAAUACAUAGGGUGCAAGCGUUGUCCGGAAUUAUUGGGCGUAAAGAGCUCGUAGGUGGUUCGUUACGUCGGAUGUGAAAAUCUGGGGCUCAACCCCAGACCUGCAUCCGAUACGGUCGAGCUAGAGUUUGGAGGGGAGACUGGAAUUCCUGGUGUAGCGGUGGAAUGCGCAGAUAUCAGGAGGAACACCAUGGCAAGGCAGGUCUCUGGGCCAAUACUGACACUGAGGAGCGAAAGCGUGGGGAGCGAACAGGAUUAGAUACCCUGGUAGUCCACGCCGUAAACGGUGGGCGCUAGUUGUGGGAACCUUCCACGGUUUCUGCGACGCAGCUAACGCAUUAAGCGCCCCGCCUGGUGAGUACGAUCGCAAGAUUAAAACUCAAAGGAAUUGACGGGGCCCCGCACAAGCAGCGGACAUGCGGCUUAAUUCGACGCAACGCGAAGAACCUUACCAAGGCUU